GCCCUGCACCCAGGGGCGCUGACACGUGGGUGGCGUGUAAUGGGCGCCGGAAGUCUUGGUCGACUGUCCUGAUGAUACUGAUCCUAAGAAGUGCCGUCAGAUGCGAUAACUGACGAUGUCACACUGUCUGACCGCAGUCGCCGAGACCUCGGUAGAUUGGUUGCAGUUAACAGCAGAAUCCGCCCUAAAUGCAUGUCCUUCCUUUCCCGACAGCAGACCGACCAAAGAGGGCCCCAGGCGGAGCUGCCGUGCCCUGCGAUAAGGCCUAGGCUACCGGGGUUUGGUACGGAACAUGGGUGGCUUGUUUCCUUAAAUGCCCUGAAGUUGCCUGACGUUGUACAGUUGUAGUUUUACGUGUUUAUGAUGCACUACCUCAUUGCAUAAUUGCAAUGGCUAGGAGACCGUUGCCCCUAACCGGAACCACUUAAGUCGCAGCGAUAUGCAUAGACAAACUCCAUCAAAAUGUCUCCUGGCUUAGUCGACAUUAGUUCAUCCAGGUAGUGCCUGGAGCAGUACUGGGAACAGUGAGCUUGACUGCUCUGAUGAAAUCACCCAUAGGAAGUGCCAUCAGAAGCGAUAACUGACGAUAAUUCCUGGCUGACUGCAGUCAACAAGGGCUCAGGUGGCUGGUGCCCAGGAGUAAGUUGGUCUGCACUGUGACCCUUACUUUCUAUAUUCACCCAGGUUGCAAAUGAAUGAAGAACUGGCAAGAGCUGAGGACUGCAGUGGAGCAUUGGCCUGCAACGAGGCUCUGAGUGCUGAAGAAUGGUGACCUGUGCAGGCCAAAGCUGGUGAUGGUGGCAGCAGCAGCAGCUUACCCUGGGGACAGGCUGUUUUUCCAGCGGGUGGUCAGCCAUGCUGCAGCAGGGGCAGAACUUGAAGUUCCAAGGACCAGUAGUCACCAUCAAUUUGGACUCAGGACGGAAACCUAGGCUUCAACAUUUGGUGUAGAAAGUUUCACCCUGCCCCACUGGCUUGGCUCAGUGGAUAGAGCAUCAGCCUGUGGACUGAAGGGUCCCAGGUUCAAUUCCAGCCAAGGGCACAUGCCCAGGUUGCAGGCUUCAAUCCCCAGUGGGGGGUGUGCAGGAGGCAGCUGAUCAAUGAUUCUCAUCAAUGUUUCUCUCUCUCCCUUCCUCUCUGAAAUAAUAAAAAAAUACAUUUAAAAAAAAAGUCUCUUGCCCUAACUGGUUUUGCUCAGUGGAUGGAGCGUUGGCCUGUGGAUUCAAGGGUUCUGGGUUCAAUUCCGGACAGGGGUAUGUACCUUGGUUGCGGGCACAUCCCCAGUGGGGAGUGUGCGUGAGGCAGCUAAUCGAUGUUUCUCUCUCAUUGAUGUUUCUAACUCUCUGUCCCUCUCCCUUCCUCUGUGUAAAAAAUCAAUAAAAUAUAUAUUUUUAAAAAGCCUCACUUUGUGCUAAGUAUCAGAGGCCAGUCUUACCAGUGAGGGCCAAGAAGUGGAUUUUGACCACCUUUUUGUAGGACUAGCACUUGGUGUCAUUACAUUCGUGAGUUUUCUAGUAUUGUCCCUCGCUCAAAAGGAGCUUACAUACACUUUAGUAUUUGUUAUAUUAGGCAAGGGGCCAAGUUCUUUAAGCUGGAAACUUCCUCCUGAAAUUAAUAUCCAUGCAAUUACCAUAAACAAUAAAGGAUGGUCUUUGGUA
Long non-coding RNA from Myotis daubentonii (Daubenton's bat), 1658 nucleotides. RefSeq lists it as uncharacterized. The record is from RefSeq and is a predicted model, not a curated record. Lineage: Eukaryota; Metazoa; Chordata; Mammalia; Chiroptera; Vespertilionidae.